GCUGAAAACCAAUUAACAGGAUCCAUUUUGCUGGUUCUAUUACAAAGGAAUUCUAUUACAAAAUCAGUGAGAAAUAGAAAAGCCACUCUGCACUCUUAGGGUCUGAGGAAACUGAGGACAUGCCCGUGAAAGCUUGCAGAUUUAUGGUGGUCAGCUGAAUUGCCCUGGCAUUGUCAGGACUCACUCAGGCUUUACCUUGGGUAGGCACAACUGCAGGGAUUCCUGAAAACAGUUUAGGGGCUGUUCUCAGUAAUACGAAACUACUGAUAUCUGCCUUUGCAGAUGUCCGCAGCUGACGUCAGGAAUUUCAGGCACCAUUGUGCAAGUUGUGUUCUAACCUGUAAAACUUGUUGCAGUGGUGAUUAGGGAUAUGACAACUUUCAGGUGAGGAUGGCAGAGACUCAGUAAAAUGAUCUCAUGGAAGAGAAGCCAAGAUUUCGGAACUGUGACCUUUUCACUGUCGCAUCAGCCUGGCUAUAAAGUAAUUCUAGACUCUGGUUUAAUGCAGCAGCUUGUGUGUGACUGACACAACAACUGCUUUGCUUCUUGAAACCCAACACAACUGGCUUAUGAUUCCUGCCAUUACUGUUUUCUUUUUCUACAUCCUUAAGUGUACUUCAGCUUUUAGCUAUGAUCCUAUCACUGUUGUUAAAAUAUUUAAUUGUAAAUAUUUCUUAAUUAAAGAAAAUUAAUUCUAAUUCUGCUGAUUCUUAGAACUUUAAA
Molecule: long non-coding RNA, 723 nt
Organism: Taeniopygia guttata (zebra finch)
Lineage: Eukaryota; Metazoa; Chordata; Aves; Passeriformes; Estrildidae
Source: RefSeq, a predicted model, not a curated record